This 429-nucleotide long non-coding RNA is filed under the name Vigna radiata. RNAcentral describes it as "long non-coding RNA (VRAD_LNC011920)". Lineage: Eukaryota; Viridiplantae; Streptophyta; Magnoliopsida; Fabales; Fabaceae. The record is from RNAcentral.
AGGGUGUCAAAAGUGAUAACUGCGACAAGGUCUUCUAAUCUAGCCAAUCAGUUUUCUUAAAAGAAUAAGUUAGUUUUCUGGAGUGUUGAGUGUUGUCCAAGGCAANGAGCCUUUAGUUUCUAAACGUUGAACAACGUUUUUGGGCACUGAGUGUCGCUUUCCUUUGCAAGAUUUGGAUUCUUUUUCCUCUUUAAUUUGUUGGGAAAGGGCUUGACUUUCUAGGCGAGAAGAGUUGUUCGUUGGGUGUUGUGUUCAAGUUCUUCUUUUGAUUCCUUGUGUGGUUGAGUUGAUUUAUAUAGAAUUAUUUCUUACUUGCGUGGAAUUAAUGAAUGUUUUAUGGAUGGUAAGCAUGAAUGUGUGUAUGAAUUUUAGUAUGUGUUAUAUGUAUGAUGAUAGUCAAAUAAAAUGGAAAGUGUGAAUUAAGUAUGA